CAAGUCGAGUGCGCGGUUGUAGCAAUACAACUGGCGCACGGCGCACGGGUGCGUAACACGUGGGUAACCUGCCCUUUGGUGGGGAAUAACUCCGCGAAAGCGGAGCUAAUUCCGCAUAAGAUCCGCAAGGAUGAAAGCCGCAAGGCGCCGAAGGAGGGGCCCGCGCCCGAUUAGCUAGUUGGUAGGGUAACGGCCUACCAAGGCUUUGAUCGGUAGCUGGUCUGAGAGGAUGAUCAGCCACACUGGAACUGAGACACGGUCCAGACUCCUACGGGAGGCAGCAGUGGGGAAUCUUGCACAAUGGGCGAAAGCCUGAUGCAGCGACGCCGCGUGGGGGAUGAAGCAUUUCGGUGUGUAAACCCCUUUCGAUCCGGACGAAACCCCGCAAGGGAUUGACGGUACGGAUAUAAGAAGCCCCGGCUAACUACGUGCCAGCAGCCGCGGUAAGACGUAGGGGGCCAGCGUUGUUCGGAAUUACUGGGUGUAAAGGGUUCGUAGGCGGUGCGGCAAGUUGGGAGUGAAAUCUCUGGGCUUAACCCAGAGGCUGCUUCCAAAACUGCUGUGCUUGAGUGUGGGAGAGGCGCGUGGAAUUGCAGGUGUAGCGGUGAAAUGCGUAGAUAUCUGCAGGAACACCCGUGGCGAAAGCGGCGCGCUGGACCACUACUGACGCUGAGGAACGAAAGCUAGGGGAGCAAACAGGAUUAGAUACCCUGGUAGUCCUAGCCCUAAACGAUCAGGACUUGGGGUGCCACCCGUUCGGGUGUCGUCCCGGAGCUAACGCGUUAAGUCCUGCACCUGGGGAGUACGGUCGCA
Molecule: ribosomal RNA, 813 nt
Filed under: uncultured Pseudomonadota bacterium
Lineage: Bacteria; Pseudomonadati; Pseudomonadota
Description: bacterial SSU rRNA
Rfam family: Bacterial small subunit ribosomal RNA
Source: RNAcentral